UCCGGUAUGGUGUAGUGGCUAACAUUUCGCGCUCUCAUAACUUGAGAUACCAAGUACCGCGGAGCCCAGGGUUCGAUUCCCUGUACCGGAG
RNAcentral lists this transfer RNA (91 nucleotides) under Fusarium irregulare. It matches the Rfam family "tRNA". Rfam says of the family: Transfer RNA (tRNA) molecules are approximately 80 nucleotides in length. The record is from Rfam by way of RNAcentral. Lineage: Eukaryota; Fungi; Ascomycota; Sordariomycetes; Hypocreales; Nectriaceae.